UUAUUAAUUUUUUAUUCAUUUGUAUCGUUAAAAAUUGACAUGAUUAACAGAAUAAUCAAACAAUAACACGUGACAUGUCACGUGUACUUUGUGCUCACAUACAUUGAUCAAUUUCGUAAUUGUAGAAAUAAAUGAAUUUUUAGCAA
Molecule: microRNA precursor, 146 nt
Filed under: Gossypium hirsutum (cotton)
Lineage: Eukaryota; Viridiplantae; Streptophyta; Magnoliopsida; Malvales; Malvaceae
Description: MIR7502 microRNA precursor family
Rfam family: MIR7502 microRNA precursor family
Source: Rfam by way of RNAcentral